Molecule: ribosomal RNA, 2482 nt
Filed under: Pyropia perforata
Lineage: Eukaryota; Rhodophyta; Bangiophyceae; Bangiales; Bangiaceae
Description: LSU rRNA
Rfam family: Bacterial large subunit ribosomal RNA
Source: RNAcentral
GUUCUUAAAUAUGAAUAAUUUAAAAAGUUAUCAAAGGAAAUCUUGAUAGAAAAAUAAAGACGUCGCGCGACGAAACAUCAUAGAAAGGCACUUGCUUAUGAACUAUGAGUUUCUUUAAGAAAACUCGCAUUUAAUAUGCUUUUAUACAUUUAUGUGAAUUGAAUCAUCUUAGUAACAUAUUAAAAAAUCAAACGAGAAUUUGUAAGUAACGGUGAGUGAAAGCGAAUCUAGCUGUGUGCUGAAACCCAAAGAAGGUAAUUAAGUCCUUUGUAGCAUUAAUAAUAAUACAAAGUAGUAUGAUUAAUUUUGUACGAAAAUAGGAGUACCAUCUUCUAAGCUAGAAAUUUUUCUAAUCGAUAGUGAACGAGUACUGUGAAGGAAAGAUUUGAAUUUGCUAAUUUAUAUUUAUUUGAAGCUAAUAUAUAUAGCAACAAAGUGCCUUUUGCAUAAUGAGUCAGUAAGUUAAUAUAUGUAGCAAGCUUAAAAGUAUUAAGGCAUUAAAAGUUACAUGUAUUAGACCCGAAGCCAAGUGAUCUAUUUUUAAGCAAGCUGAAGAUGUUUUAAAACGCAUUGAAGGGCUGAACCCACGUCUGUUGAAAAAUACGGGGAUGACUUAAGAAUAGGGGUGAAAGUCCAAUCAAACUUGGUGAUAGCUGGUUUUCCGCGAAAACUAUCAAAGUAGUACGUUGCUUUUAAAAAAUGUGGGUAGAGCUACUUAUUAAACUUAGAUUUUGCUAUGUUUUAUUAAACUCCAAACUAUAUUUUUUCUAAGCAGCAGACAGUCAUUAGGCGAUAAGGUCUAAUGUCAAAAGGGAAACAACCCUAAUCGGUAGCUAAGAUCUCAAAAUUAUGAAUUAGUGAAAAAAUGAAAAAUAAUUCGAAUAAACAGAGUAGGCUUAGAAGCAGCCAUCUAUUGGAGAAAGCGUUUUAGCUCAUUAUUUUUAUUUAUUUUGUUCAUUUAUAAUGUAAAGAGGCUUAAAUUUAUAUAUCGAAGCACCGAAUUAAGUUAUAUUUAGCUUAGUGGUAGCGGAACGUCCUGUAGUCUUUUAUGUUAAUGUUAAAUUGCAUAUUAAAAAUCAGGAGUGCUAAUGCUGACAUGAGUAGCGUCAAUCAUGUUGAAAACAAAUCAUGAUCGUCUAUUGUUCAAGGGUUUUCAGUAAAUUUUAAGUAACUGAAUUUAGUCGGCCCUUAAAAAAAAAGCGAAAGCUGUAUUUGAUAGGAAAGUUGGUCCACAUGUCUGCAAAACAUUCUUUUGUUUUGUGUAAAAAAUCAAUAUUUUUAAAUUCUGCUCAGUAAACUAGCAACUUUAAGAAAUUGUUUUUCAGGAAAACUUACAUGAAGUUUGACCGUACCUAAAACCGACACAGGUGAACUUAUUGAAAAGAUAAAGACGAGUGAGCGAAUUAUACUUAAGGAACUCGGCAAAUUUGCUCUGUACGUUCGCAAAAAAGAGCACCUUAAAGGUUUCAAGAAUUAGGGGUAGCGACUGUUUAACAAAAAAAUCUUAAAACUUUGCAAAUUCUAAAGAAGACGUAUAAGGUUUGAUGCCUGCCCAGUGCUUGAAAGCGAAAAAUAGAUGUCAAUGCAUAUAUUAUAAACCCAAGUAAACGGCGGUCUUAACUAUAAGGAUCCUCAGGUAGCGAAAUUCCUUGGCGGGUAAAUUCCGUCCUGCAUGAAUGGCAUCACGACUACCCCACUGUCUCUAGUAUAACCUCAGCGAAAUUACAUUGUCUGUGAAAAUGCAGACAUCCUACAACAAGACGGAAAGACCCUAUGAUUCUUAACUAUAAUUUUACAUCGUAAUAAUUUUGUACAUAGUACAGUAAAAGUAGGAGUAUAUUUAUACAACUUUGAAAAACUACUUUGUGUAUAGAAAAUUACUUACUAAAGAGGAAAUGUGUAAAAGUGGUAGUUUACUUGGGACGAGGACCUCCUAAACUGUAACGGAGGUGCACAAAAGUAAAUUUUAAUUAGUUAUCUACACUAAUGUAACACGUAAUGGUAAAAGUUUGCUUGACGGUAAGAAUUACAAUUCAAACUGAGACGAAAGUCAGUCAUAAUGAUCCGGCAGUAACGUAUGGAAGUACUGUCGCUUAUCGGAAAAAAGAAACUCUAGGGAUAACAGAUUUAUCAUGGUUGAGAGUUCUUAUCGAUGCCAUGGUUUGAUACCUCGAUGUCGGCCUAUCUGUUGUGGGUAAGAAAAAAAAAAGAUUUAUCUUUAGUACGAGAGGAUUAAGAUAUAUUAACCAAUAGUGUAUCGGUUGUAUUGUUUUUUGCAUCGCCGAGUAGCCACGUUAACAUUAUAUAAGUGCUGACAGCUUAAAAGCGCAAAAAAAAUCUUCCUUUUUUUCUGGAACAUUCUAGAAGAUUACUAGAUAGAUCGGCUUACUAUUUAAUACUUGUAAGAGUAAGUAAGUAAAUACGAAAAGUUCAUUAUAAUUUAUACUAUAUUUAAGAACGGGUUUUAUCCCGUUCUUAAAUA